CGAAUGCUGACAUAAGUAACGAUAAAGCGGGUGAAAAGCCCGCUCGCCGGAAGACCAAGGGUUCCUGUCCAACGUUAAUCGGGGCAGGGUGAGUCGACCCCUAAGGCGAGGCCGAAAGGCGUAGUCGAUGGGAAACAGGUUAAUAUUCCUGUACUUGGUGUUACUGCGAAGGGGGGACGGAGAAGGCUAUGUUGGCCGGGCGACGGUUGUCCCGGUUUAAGCGUGUAGGCUGGUUUUCCAGGCAAAUCCGGAAAAUCAAGGCUGAGGCGUGAUGACGAGGCACUACGGUGCUGAAGCAACAAAUGCCCUGCUUCCAGGAAAAGCCUCUAAGCAUCAGGUAACAUCAAAUCGUACCCCAAACCGACACAGGUGGUCAGGUAGAGAAUACCAAGGCGCUUGAGAGAACUCGGGUGAAGGAACUAGGCAAAAUGGUGCCGUAACUUCGGGAGAAGGCACGCUGAUAUGUAGGUGAAGCGACUUGCUCGUGGAGCUGAAAUCAGUCGAAGAUACCAGCUGGCUGCAACUGUUUAUUAAAAACACAGCACUGUGCAAACACGAAAGUGGACGUAUACGGUGUGACGCCUGCCCGGUGCCGGAAGGUUAAUUGAUGGGGUUAGCGGUAACGCGAAGCUCUUGAUCGAAGCCCCGGUAAACGGCGGCCGUAACUAUAACGGUCCUAAGGUAGCGAAAUUCCUUGUCGGGUAAGUUCCGACCUGCACGAAUGGCGUAAUGAUGGCCAGGCUGUCUCCACCCGAGACUCAGUGAAAUUGAACUCGCUGUGAAGAUGCAGUGUACCCGCGGCAAGACGGAAAGACCCCGUGAACCUUUACUAUAGCUUGACACUGAACAUUGAGCCUUGAUGUGUAGGAUAGGUGGGAGGCUUUGAAGUGUGGACGCCAGUCUGCAUGGAGCCGGCCUUGAAAUACCACCCUUUAAUGUUUGAUGUUCUAACGUUGGCCCCUGAUCGGGGUUGCGGACAGUGUCUGGUGGGUAGUUUGACUGGGGCGGUCUCCUCCUAAAGAGUAACGGAGGAGCACGAAGGUUGGCUAAUCCUGGUCGGACAUCAGGAGGUUAGUGCAAUGGCAUAAGCCAGCUUGACUGCGAGCGUGACGGCGCGAGCAGGUGCGAAAGCAGGUCAUAGUGAUCCGGUGGUUCUGAAUGGAAGGGCCAUCGCUCAACGGAUAAAAGGUACUCCGGGGAUAACAGGCUGAUACCGCCCAAGAGUUCAUAUCGACGGCGGUGUUUGGCACCUCGAUGUCGGCUCAUCACAUCCUGGGGCUGAAGUAGGUCCCAAGGGUAUGGCUGUUCGCCAUUUAAAGUGGUACGCGAGCUGGGUUUAGAACGUCGUGAGACAGUUCGGUCCCUAUCUGCCGUGGGCGCUGGAGAACUGAGGGGGGCUGCUCCUAGUACGAGAGGACCGGAGUGGACGCAUCACUGGUGUUCGGGUUGUCAUGCCAAUGGCACUGCCCGGUAGCUAAAUGCGGAAGAGAUAAGUGCUGAAAGCAUCUAAGCACGAAACUUGCCCCGAGAUGAGUUCUCCCUGAGACUUUAAGUCUCCUGAAGGAACGUUGAAGACGACGACGUUGAUAGGCCGGGUGUGUAAGCGCAGCGAUGCGUUGAGCUAA
This 1625-nucleotide ribosomal RNA is filed under the name Escherichia coli. RNAcentral describes it as "partial 23S ribosomal RNA". It matches the Rfam family "Bacterial large subunit ribosomal RNA", at positions 1291 to 2894 of the family's 2925-position model. The record is from RNAcentral. Lineage: Bacteria; Pseudomonadati; Pseudomonadota; Gammaproteobacteria; Enterobacterales; Enterobacteriaceae.